UGUCCAAGGAUGGGAAGCGAACCCACAGUGUUCCGCUUAUUGGGCAGAUGCCAUGUCCACUAGGCUAACCUGGAC
RNAcentral lists this transfer RNA (75 nucleotides) under Cordylochernes scorpioides. RNAcentral describes it as "tRNA-Ile". Lineage: Eukaryota; Metazoa; Arthropoda; Arachnida; Pseudoscorpiones; Chernetidae. The record is from RNAcentral.